UACGUAAGAGACUAGUGUUAAUCAUCCAUAAAUAGGUUUAAAGGGUACUCAGAUGGUAAAUUUACCCUAAAAUAACAUUAGGGAUCAAUUUUCUAGUAGUUUAUGUAAGAAGGUACGUACUCUAGAGUGUAGAGAUUAAAUUCAUUAAUACCUAGGGGACUUUUCAAGGCGAAGGCUAUCUUUUAUGUAAAAACUGACAUCGAAGGACGAAGGCACAGGGCACGAACAGG
Molecule: ribosomal RNA, 230 nt
Filed under: uncultured bacterium
Lineage: Bacteria
Description: partial 16S ribosomal RNA
Rfam family: Bacterial small subunit ribosomal RNA
Source: RNAcentral